RNAcentral lists this long non-coding RNA (968 nucleotides) under Scleropages formosus (Asian bonytongue). RNAcentral describes it as "lncRNA (ENSSFOG00015029351.1)". The record is from RNAcentral. Lineage: Eukaryota; Metazoa; Chordata; Actinopteri; Osteoglossiformes; Osteoglossidae.
CUCGCAGAAAGCAGCUCUGACAGGAACGUUACCUGUUGUCAAGGAUACCGGAAGACGGGACCUUCGGUCGUGCACGUGAAUGACGUCACAGUUCAUUGAUACUCUGUUAUCGGCAAUAAUGAGUCGCUCCACUCCAAUGGAGCCCUUCAGAGAGCUGAUCAUUUCUGCAACGGAGGAGAGGAGCAAGAAGCAACGGGCUGGAACUGGGAAACAAAGUGAAGACUGUCCACUCCUGUGCAGAGGUUGUCCGCUGUGUGGUCCCUGUGCCACACCUCUGUGACCCCCCCCCCCGGGUGAGGAUAUGCUGAUAAGACGAGGCGAUGCAAAUUCAACCCAGGGGAGAGGAGACGGGGGCAACAGGUAGGAGGUGGGGGGGUGGAGUGGGGCAGGGGCUGCGGCUGUUAGUUGGAUUUCAUGGCCUUGCUUUGAUUGCAGCUUUGACAGGAGCUCUUUGUCCUACUGAUGCCCACCACGCCUCCUGUCUGACUCCUUCUGAGACACACUGGCCUUGCCAGCUGUAGGACAGCAAGAGGGACCAUCCCACAUGUUCCUCCUGCACGUCACAUGACUGUCGCAGCACCCAAAACACAUCUUUUUGGACAAAUUCUUUAAAAACGCCAUCUUUAACAUUUAUUCUUACGUUGUUCAAUGCCUUUUAAACCAAAUCUCUAAAUUAUCCAUCACCGUUCCCUUUCACUUUUCUUUUGUCACAUUGUUCUUUUUCGCCCCAAACAAAUAUUUAGUUUCACCCAUAGUGUGUGAGUGACAGAGAGAGUGUGUUUCACUGAUGUAUGGAUGAGUGACCCAUUGUAAGUAGCGUAUCCAGCAGUGUAAGUCUUCAGGUGCUCUGGUUUCCUCCCACAGUCCAAAGGUAACACUGAUAACACUACAAAGAGUUCGUUGGAAGUCGCUUUGGAGAAAAGGGUCUGCUAAAUAAAUAAACGUAAAUCUUUACUGUUUAUCUCCGC